Molecule: long non-coding RNA, 298 nt
Filed under: Elaeis guineensis (African oil palm)
Lineage: Eukaryota; Viridiplantae; Streptophyta; Magnoliopsida; Arecales; Arecaceae
Description: long non-coding RNA (EGUI_LNC037057)
Source: RNAcentral
GAAUAAGAGCUAGUUGCCUAAUUCACUCGAAUCUGAUUCAAUUUGAGUCUAAUUUGAAUCAUAUGAACCCAAACUCUUAAUUAUCUAUAAAAUAGACUAAAAAAUAUCAAAUUUUAAUAAAUAAAAAGUAAUUAAAUAAAAUUAUAUGUUUCUAGUAAUUUAAUUUAAAUAUUCAUCAUAGCCCCCAACUUGAACUUUACUCAUCCUCGAGUAAAAUAAAAAAAUUAGUAAUAGGUACCGACUCGAUUUUGAAUUAAAAGUUAGGUUAGAUAUUUUUAAAGAUAGCUGAUACCCAGUC